This 339-nucleotide ribosomal RNA is filed under the name uncultured bacterium. RNAcentral's name for it is "bacterial SSU rRNA". It matches the Rfam family "Bacterial small subunit ribosomal RNA", at positions 29 to 351 of the family's 1533-position model. The record is from RNAcentral.
AACGAACGCUGGCGGCGUGCCUAACACAUGCAAGUCGCGCGAGAAAAGGGAGCAAUCCCUGAGUAAAGCGGCGAACGGGUGAGUAACACGUAGGUAAUCUACCCCCAAGUCUGGGAUAACCUACCGAAAGGGUGGGCUAAUACCGGAUAUGACCACGGGAGUUCCGGCUCCUGCGGUGAAAGGUGGCCUCUGCUUGCAAGCUACCGCUCGAGGAUGAGCCUGCGCGCCAUAGCUAGUUGGCGGGGUAACGGCCCACCAAGGCGAUGAUGGCUAGCUGGUCUGAGAGGAUGGCCAGCCACACUGGGACUGAAACACGGCCCAGACUCCUACGGGAGGCAG